This 497-nucleotide ribosomal RNA is filed under the name uncultured bacterium. RNAcentral's name for it is "partial 16S ribosomal RNA". It matches the Rfam family "Bacterial small subunit ribosomal RNA", at positions 28 to 507 of the family's 1533-position model. The record is from RNAcentral.
GAUGAACGCUGGCGGCGUGCCUAAUACAUGCAAGUCGAGCGAACGGACGAGAAGCUUGCUUCUCUGAUGUUAGCGGCGGACGGGUGAGUAACACGUGGAUAACCUACCUAUAAGACUGGGAUAACUUCGGGAAACCGGGGCUAAUACCGGAUAAUAUUUUGAACCGCAUGGUUCAAAAGUGAAAGACGGUCUUGCUGUCACUUAUAGAUGGAUCCGCGCUGCAUUAGCUAGUUGGUAAGGUAACGGCUUACCAAGGCAACGAUGCAUAGCCGACCUGAGAGGAUGAUCAGCCACACUGGAACUGAGACACGGUCCAGACUCCUACGGGAGGCAGCAGUAGGGAAUCUUCCGCAAUGGGCGAAAGCCUGACGGAGCAACGCCGCGUGAGUGAUGAAGGUCUUCGGAUCGUAAAACUCUGUUAUUAGGGAAGAACAUAUGUAUAAGUAACUGUGCACAUCUUGACGGUACCUAAUCAGAAAGCCACGGCUAACUACGUG